GAUGAAGAACGCAGCGAAAUGCGAUAAGUAAUGUGAAUUGCAGAAUUCAGUGAAUCAUCGAAUCUUUGAACGCACAUUGCGCCCUCUGGUAUUCCGGGGGGCAUGCCUGUUCGAGCGUCAUUACAACCCUCAAGCUUUGCUUGGUAUUGGACAUUGCCAGUUUCUGGCAGGUCUUAAAAUCAGUGGCGGUGCCAUUUGGCUUCAAGCGUAGUAAUUCUUCUCGCUUUGGAGAUCCAAGUGGUUACUUGCCAAUAACCCCCAAUUUGUUCAGGUUGACCUCGGAUCAGGUAGGGAUACCCGCUGAACUUAAGCAUAUCAAUAAGCGGAGGA
This 330-nucleotide unclassified non-coding RNA is filed under the name soil metagenome. RNAcentral's name for it is "partial contains 5.8S ribosomal RNA, internal transcribed spacer 2, and large subunit ribosomal RNA". The stretch from base 1 to 120 matches the Rfam family "5.8S ribosomal RNA", at positions 35 to 154 of the family's 154-position model. The record is from RNAcentral.